CCUACGGGAGGCAGCAGUGAGGAAUAUUGGUCAAUGGACGAGAGUCUGAACCAGCCAAGUAGCGUGAAGGAUGACUGCCCUAUGGGUUGUAAACUUCUUUUAUAUGGGAAUAAAAUGUUCCACGUGUGGGAUUUUGUAUGUACCAUAUGAAUAAGGAUCGGCUAACUCCGUGCCAGCAGCCGCGGUAAUACGGAGGAUCCGAGCGUUAUCCGGAUUUAUUGGGUUUAAAGGGAGCGUAGGUGGAUUGUUAAGUCAGUUGUGAAAGUUUGCGGCUUAACCGUAAAAUUGCAGUUGAAACUGGCAGUCGUGAGUACAGUAGAGGUGGGCGGAAUUCGUGGUGUAGCGGUGAAAUGCUUAGAUAUCACGAAGAACUCCGAUUGCGAAGGCAGCUCACUGGACUGCAACUGACACUGAGGCUCGAAAGUGUGGGUAUCAAACAGGAUUAGAUACCCCAGUAGUC
Molecule: ribosomal RNA, 460 nt
Filed under: uncultured bacterium
Lineage: Bacteria
Description: partial 16S ribosomal RNA
Rfam family: Bacterial small subunit ribosomal RNA
Source: RNAcentral